Long non-coding RNA from Scophthalmus maximus (turbot), 4502 nucleotides. RefSeq lists it as uncharacterized. The transcript has 2 exons. Lineage: Eukaryota; Metazoa; Chordata; Actinopteri; Pleuronectiformes; Scophthalmidae. The record is from RefSeq and is a predicted model, not a curated record.
GAACCGCAGGUGAAACUUCACGGAAGCCACACCGAGGAACAUAAACCCUGUGUCAGUCUGCAGAGAGAGUCACCUCCUCAUCACCACCACCAGCAGCAGCAGGCUGCAUUGUCCCAGGGUGUACUACAGUAUAUGGGCGCCCCCUAGCGUACGCUUUCUUUCUGCUUCAAAUAAGAUUCAAUUGAGAGGAGCCAUCCGACGAGGAAACCGCCUCAGUCUCGUCUCACGCAUCGACCAAACUAACGAGCACCAUUUUUUAAACUGAUCACUGUUUGUUUAAAUUCUGUUUUGCAUGACUUGGACGGCAAAGCUUUGAGAGUUGCCAAAGUUGGAUUUACUUUUUUUUCCCCUCUCUCUCUCUCUCUCUCUCCCCCCUCGCCACUUCAGGCAGUCCCAGCGGUGAUCCCGCGAGCACGGAGCGUCUGUAAAUAAAGAAAAGAACAAAAAAAACACUCACGCAAGAUAUCGACUCAUCGAGGAGCCAGUUUUGCUUCGAAUGGUAAGUAAACAUUUUUGCACGCUUUAUAAUGAUGAUGGAGCAAAGAAGCCACGCGUUAUUCCACGUGCUGUAAACUGCACAUCGUCUCGCUGCAAACAAUAAGGUGCAUAUGCGAUAUACUUCCACAGUGCGCAUUGCAUACGGAAGAUAUUUCGCUGAUGAUUAUCAUCCGAGUGGUCAUUUAUAUGAUGAUCACACUAUAAGGUUAGUUAUUUGCAAAAAUACCAAUUCAUAAAGUUACCCCUUGAUAUUUGAUGGCGACAGUGAGGCUUAUAAAACCUACCAAAUGCAUAUGUUGCUGAUUCGUCCGCAGCAGGAUGCAUCUUCUCUCUUAUAUAUUUAGUCUUCUCUUUCUGGACACAGUGCUCAGAUUGAAGCGGGCAGAGCUUCCUCUCCGACAGACGGCAUCAAACACGUUGUUUAUUGGAAAAACGGCAAUGUCUGAUCAUGCACAGAAAAGCAAAAACAAAAAAAAAAACUUUUGGAGAGCCGAAACCAUGCAGCCAGACUGGUUCACGUCAUGUGUCGUUGAGCGAAGGAAUUGGAAAUGUAACGUUGACGUGUCGUCCGAGCAGAAAUAUCAUUUGACUGCCUCUGGGAUCCCGUGCGCCUUUUCCCUCCUACAGUAACGUGGCCGCCGCUGCUUUGUGUGGGCUACUGAGGAGAGGAGAGGGGGAGGGAGGGAGGGGGUGAAGUCAGAACAGACACCUGUCUUUAAGUAUGGCGAGCAGGCGUUAUGAGAUUCUGCUUAUUGGAAAUUAAAGAGGACUUGGACGUAAAGGCACAGUAAGUCUCGUGAUUAGAGGUGUAAUUAAAAAACGGCCUCAAAUUUAAUUUGCUUGUAAAAAUAUUUCACCAAUAUUCUUAAAUAACAAAAGCAACAUUGACAGUUGUAUUAUUGUCAUCAUUAGUAUUAUCUAAUUAAUUAUGACAUCAAAUUACGGCGUAUAUAUAUAUAUAUAUAUUAUUCAAAAUAAAAAAACAAUAACGUCAUUUUUAAUUGCUGCACCUCUGGUUAUGACAUAUAUAUGCAGAGAAUAAGAAGGUUAAUAUAAGGAAUGAUUAUAGCCUCAGUUAAUUAAUCUGUGGCGAGAUGAUGCCGAGCACCUUUUUUUUUUUUACGCAUAUACAUUUGCACACCGACAAAAAAUUGAUCAGCUAUUAAAAAAACCCCAGCAAAAACUCUUCUGCUGCAGUUGUUAUUUCCCGGUGUUUUCAACGUUUCCUCUGAGUGAUUAGCAGUUUUCUUUCUUCACCCUCCAAUUACGCAGCAGAUCCGAGCGCAACACGCGCUCAGCGCGUCGCGCCCGCGCGCAACGACACUGGCGACGGCACGAGUAUCGAUCAAGACGAGACACGGAGGAUGUCGCCCGCGCUAAAUAUUUACCGAUCACACACAAAUAGCAGGAUCUGUAAUGAUUUCCCAGGCUCCGGCUGCGAGGGGAAGCACUGAAUGACUUUAUUAUUGUUAGUAAAACAAAGCGCACGCUCUGGAACACAGGAGUGGAGAUGUGCUGACUGGGAUAAGUGCAGUUCAAUUAAUGGAUGGUGAGCAGAUAACAGUUGCGGUUUACGGGCGUGCAAAGACGAAGACGGGGAAGAAGAAGAAAAGAAGCAGCUUUCACUCGCGUCUCAGGUGAGAGUGACACAUGCACGGCGAUGGGUAAAUCCUCUGGCACGCCGGAUUGCGCACGGUGGUCAAAACGACGUCAAGUCAACAGAUUACUGAGUGAAAGUUUCACACCGGCCAGCGCGCGUUCGCGUGAAAAUAUCUCGCUCCGGCAUCUGAAUUUUCUCUUAAAGCGCUUUAGAUAUAAAAUAUGAUACUGCUCUCACCAUGUGUAAAAGAAAGAGAGAGAGAGAGAGGUAAAAGUGAAAUAAAAGUUGACUCUAAUCUUAUCUCUGCCUUCACCAAGUCCUCCAUGCAGAUAGAGGGAUUGUGACCCGCAGGUCUCCGAGUUCCCGGCCUGAUUAACCCCUCCAGACCCGAGCAGGAGCAAAGGUUAACCAGGCUAAUCAACUUCAAGAGUCUGAUUGAAUUAGAUGACGGUGGAAUCAGGACCGAAACUUCAUUGUCCCACUUAGAAAAAAAAAAACACACCAAGAAGAGAAACCUUGGACCUUUUUUUUUUUUUGGACAACUUACUAAAUUUAGAAUAUAAAACGGAGGAAUUAAAUGUAGAUAAGAGUAGAGAUAACUUUUUUUUAACAGCCAGCAGGUUUAAUCAGUUUCUUGUAAAAGCAUUAAACAUUUCCAACAUACUUUCAAUAUGCUAAACCCUCUUUAACACACACAGAUUGUUUUCUCUCUCUCUCCUGCUUGAUAAAGAUCAGUUGAUUGAUGGUGGUUGUGCCCCACAUGUCAUGACAUUUUUAUGUGCUGCAUUGCAUAUCAAUCAGUAGCCUUUAACUCUCCAGUAAAGGUUUUAUCUCUCCUCUCUUCGUGGCAGGGCUUCGUGGUGAUGUUGCUUGAAUAUGGAAAGAUGGAAUAAUAAAAAAAAAACCCCAGACCAAUUAGUUAAAAGUCUCCUUGUACAUUUGGCACUAAUUUAGUUAUAGGCCUAAAUAAUAUUUUCUGUUACUUAUAUACUUAAACAGCACAGGUGAUCACAAAUAAAACAAAAAUGUUACGUGAGCAAAUUGGCUUAUUUUUAUGUUUAAAUCAUGACAGUAUUAAAGAUUCCUAAAUUGCGAGGGCAUAAAAAUAACUGAUGAUAUUAAUUAUUUGCACACGUUUCAUCCCAAUAAUGUGUCAAUAUUUUUAUAGCAUAUAGUUUUUACAUGGUUGAAUUGAUUAUUCUUAAGCUCAUGUUUUUAUUGACAAAAGUAGGACUUGACUGUGAAGUUAUCUCCUGUAUUUUCUUCUUUUAAGAAUACAUCAUUUUUAAAAAGGCAUUCUGUGGUGUAAAUCUAUAUGCAAUUUAAUUAUAUUCAUACAUAUUGGUGAGUAUACUGACCACAAAUUGAUUGAAACUAUUUUAUAAAGAGUCCAUCCAGCGAUGUGCAUCACUUCUUUCUGUCUGCGCGCCCUGAGGGCCACUAUCUGAAAUGGCAAUAGAUCCCAGAUAGUUCACUGUUCAAUUUGCUAAUGAUAGAUUAUAGUGCCAAUUUAAACAGAUAGGGAUCAAUUUGUCUCAAUGAUCACUCCUCAGGCUGACUGCCAGCACGCUCUUAAUGUAUUUGUAAAUGCUGGUUGUUUGAAUCAUGGCGGUUCUGUCUGAAGUGAUCAGAACUGCAGUGUGGAGGGAAAUGAGCGGUGUAAAUGAUAAAUGAUGUGUUUUGGCUGCUAAAGAUGGAGCACUGACGGAGCGUACGCGACGAUUACUUCAGGCAGAGGCACUGCAGCAGCAGCGGCCAUAAGGUCAAUGGUUUAAGUCAGAGGACUUACUGGUAAAGUCUGGCGAGGAGAAUUGUGUGAUAAGUGCUCUGCAACCCUCAGGAAACUAGUGCUGAAGUGCCCUUCGGCAAAGCAGCUUAAACCCCAUCUGUCCCAGUGGAGGUGCAGAGCGGCCAGCAGGACAAGUCUGCGGCUGAACCGGCCACAUGUGAGAUGUGUCUCUUGGAGUGUGACCUGCCCUCCCUUUUCUUUUUGAAAAGUGGGCAGUCCACUCGCCCUCACACAGUUGUGUGUUUUUUCAAUUUUUUUUCAUGUACUCACACAAGUGAAAAGGUUUGGGAGACGACACACCAGGGGAAAGCAGUGGCACCAUUCAGCCCCUGAACCAGACAUGGGUCACAUGUGGCCCCAGAGGCAACAGACAGCGUAUUGGAUUACAGUAACUCAAGGUGUAAUGUGGUAGCAGUGUGGGAAAUGUAAAACAGUAUACAAACGGAUGUAGAGGAGGCGUAACCGCAGCUUCAGCUAUUUAAUGUUGAACACAUAUUUCUUAAAAUUUCAGAUACAAUCAGUUUUAACAGCAGACAUUCUCACCAACUUCUUAUUAUCAUUGGAUUUGUCACUAUCAAACUGUGUUUUGAUGUUGCAAUAAAUGCAUCGACUGUA